Long non-coding RNA from Oncorhynchus tshawytscha (Chinook salmon), 3197 nucleotides. NCBI's taxonomy places the organism in Eukaryota, Metazoa, Chordata, Actinopteri, Salmoniformes, Salmonidae. The record is from Ensembl.
UGUGUGUGUGUGUGUGUGUGUAGGUGUGUGUGUGUGUGUGUGUGUGUGUAGGUAUAUCACCGUUUCAUGUGUAUGGAUCAGAAAUAUGAUUAGGUGGAUUUUUAUUUGCCUUUGGAGUUUGGACUUUAUUUCUUUAAAUGCUAAAAAUCCAGAUUACAUUUUUUCUAUUGAUUUUGAAAAUGAGCUUUUAGGUGUUUUCUGUUCGACUAAAUUCAGUAAAGUUUUCUGAACACUCUAGUGCAGCUGUGUCAAACUCAUUCCACGGAAGGCCGAGUGUCUGCAGGUUGUUGUUUUUUCCUUUCAAUGAAGUCCUAGACAACCAGGUGAGGAGAGUUCCUUACUAAUUAGAGACUUUAAUUCAUCAAUCAAGUACGAGCGAGGAGGGGAUAACCUCGCAGACACUCGGCCAUCCGUGGAAUGAGUUUCACACGUGCUCUAGUGCCACAUUUCUACUUGGUCUCCUGCAACACUUUUUGAACAGGAAAAUGAAUACUGCUGCAACAGCUGAAUCUGGUAAAAUCACUGAGUUUAUGGAGGUAUGCUCUCUACAGUUUAUAAUUUAGAUUUAGUCCGAUGAUGUGCUACACAUUAAUAUCGGAUCAUUCAAAGCCACUAGAUUGAGAAGAGUAAGACAUUCAUUUAGAUCCAUUUUUUACAGAGAAUUAUAUUCUGCCGUUGACAGCAAGCCCAGAUGUUCCAGAGCCUCCUGUCUGGAAACAGACAGAUAGCUGUUAAUGAUGUCCAACACUUUAUCACUGACCCCUUAACACAGGGUUUCAGAUAGCUGUUAAUGAUGUCCAACACUUUAUCACUGACCCCUUAACACAGGGUUUCAGAUAGCUGUAAAUGAUGUCCAACACUUUAUCACUGACCCCUUAACACAGGGUUUCAGAUAGCUGUUAAUGAUGUCCAACACUUUAUCACUGACCCCUUAACACAGGGUUUCAGAUAGCUGUUAAAUGAUGUCCAACACUUUAUCACUGACCCCUUAACACAGGGUUUCAGAUAGCUGUUAAUGAUGUCCAACACUUUAUCACUGACCCCUUAACACAGGGUUUCAGAUAGCUGUUAAUGAUGUCCAACACUUUAUCACUGACCCCUUAACACAGGGUUUCAGAUAGCUGUAAAUGAUGUCCAACACUUUAUCACUGACCCCUUAACACAGGGUUUCAGAUAGCUGUUAAUGAUGUCCAACACUUUAUCACUGACCCCUUAACACAGGGUUUCAGAUAGCUGUUAAUGACGUCCAACACUUUAUCACUGACCCCUUAACACAGGGUUUCAGAUAGCUGUUAAUGACGUCCAACACUUUAUCACUGACCCCUUAACACAGGGUUUCAGAUAGCUGUUAAUGUCCAACACUUUAUCACUGACCCCUUAACACAGAGUUUCAGAUAGCUGUUAAUGAUGUCCAACACGUUAUCACUGACCCCUUAACACAGGGUUUCAGAUAGCUGUAAAUGAUGUCCAACACUUUAUCACUGACCCCUUAACACAGGGUUUCAGAUAGCUGUUAAUGUCCAACACUUUAUCACUGACCCCUUAACACAGGGUUUCAGAUAGCUGUUAAUGACGUCCAACACUUUAUCACUGACCCCUUAACACAGGGUUUCAGAUAGCUGUUAAUGACGUCCAACACUAUCACUGACCCACAGGGUUUCCAAAACGCGGUCCUGGAUUUUGCCCUAGCACUCCAGGAUCGGGUUUGGAAAACCCUGCCUUAACAGACACGUAUCUACUUCAUGACAGAAAAAUAUAUUUUUUACCUUAUUUUAGUCCAUUUAUUUGAUUGUUUUACAUUUCUAAAUGUUGACGAAUGGGGUAUUGUUUGGAGAUUUGAUUAUUAUUUCACAUUUUAAAUUCAAGCAGAAAAAUACAUUGAAUAUUUACAUUUUUUAAAAUUUUAAAUUGCAUGACAAGUAACUAAAACAUAUCUUCAUGGAAAAUUUGAACUGGCUUUACAAAAAGUUACGUCAAGAUUGUUGUGAUGUGGAAUUUUGCUGUACCGCAAUUUCUUGCGCUAUAUCCCGAAGUCAAUAUCGUUGUGACCUCUCGAGAUGUCUUAGGGCUAGAAACCAGACUGAACUAUAAUAACGGCUAGUUUUGGUUCAAUGUGUUGUGUUUGUAGGCUGUCGAUGCUCUGUUUCCAUCUCACCGAUCAGAUUUAGGAUCCAGAGCUACUGAUCUACAGUAUGUAUUGCAUUACAUACUGUAGAUUGCAUUACAUACUGUAGAUUAGAGAUGCAUCUGGAAUCCUAUGGAGACUUUCUGGAAUAGAUAGUUCAAACUAAUGCAUUUUUGAUCACAGUAAGCUCCUAAAUUCCCAGGUCUUAAGAAGUUACAAGAGAAACCUGGGGAGGAUUGGUUUUAGUAUCACUUCGUUGCCAAGCAAAACGUCACAAGAAAGAGUAAUGAAUUAGUCAUUAUAAAGACAGAAAAAAAAGAUGAGAAAAAAAAACAAAAAAAACCCUGUUGUGUGUUGCGAUUUCCAGACAUAUUUGCAUGAAUCUGUAUGUGCUGGAAAACAAUUGUGGAAAACCUAUUUUCUGUUUUGCCCUCACAGCUGUAGUAUUCUGUUGUUCACACUUGGGUGUAUGAAUGUUGAAUGACAGUCAGUAAAGUUACUUUCCUCUUUUCAUCUGGCAACUUCCAAUAAUGAACUGUUCAGUACGGGUUGUAGCCAGUUGUGGUAUUGUUGAAUUCAACCAUGCUCCAGGCAGAAGUUACCAUUUAAAUCCUCACCUCAUCCAAGGGUGAAACCCUCCCAACUAACCUUAGAUCAGUGUCUGGGGGGAGGGGGAAUUACAUCUUGUGACAACCUAUGACCUUGUGUUCACCAACCCUGGACCUGAGGACCAACUGGGUGUUCACAGGCUUUUGUUCUAGCCCAGCACUAACUUGAUUAAAGUAAUCAUCAAGACCGAAGGCUGGAACCACUGCUGUAGGUAAUAUAUGAGUUGGACACGGAGGUCUGAGCGAAGUGAAACUGACGUAAUGUGUUGGAAGUCGUUUUUGAGGUCUUUUUGUUUUUCUGUCCAGUGACCUAUUUUCACACGGCAUCAUGAUUUUUGUGGCGUUUUAGUGAGUAGGGGAACACAGCUCUAGAACUUGUGUCCGAUUCGGUCUUUGCAAUACAACGGUCUUCCCUGUAAGCUCCGAUUAGUCGACAAUAAAAUUACAAAUCUUGUUGGAAUGAA